AAAAAAGUAACAACAGAA
This 18-nucleotide small RNA is filed under the name Arabidopsis thaliana (thale cress). Its description in RNAcentral is "ATSL103280". The record is from RNAcentral. Lineage: Eukaryota; Viridiplantae; Streptophyta; Magnoliopsida; Brassicales; Brassicaceae.